RNAcentral lists this ribosomal RNA (1518 nucleotides) under Glaesserella parasuis. RNAcentral's name for it is "partial 23S ribosomal RNA". It matches the Rfam family "Bacterial large subunit ribosomal RNA", at positions 1 to 1447 of the family's 2925-position model. The record is from RNAcentral. Lineage: Bacteria; Pseudomonadati; Pseudomonadota; Gammaproteobacteria; Pasteurellales; Pasteurellaceae.
AGUUAAGUGACUAAGCGUACACGGUGGAUGCCUAGGCAAUCAGAGGCGAAGAAGGACGUGCUAAUCUGCGAAAAGCUUGGAUGAGUUGAUAAGAAGCGUUUAAUCCAAGAUAUCCGAAUGGGGAAACCCGAUGGAUGAAGAAUCCAUCAUUUCAUUAUGAAUCCAUAGUAAUGAAAGGCAAACCGGGAGAACUGAAACAUCUAAGUACCCCGAGGAAAAGAAAUCAACCGAGAUUUUGUAAGUAGCGGCGAGCGAAAGCGAAAGAGCCAGUGAGUGAUAGCAGCAAAGACAGAAGAAUUGGCUGGGAAGCCAAGCGACACAGGGUGAUAGCCCCGUAUUCGAAGUUUUUGUUGUGGUACUAAGCUUGCAACAAGUAGGGCGGGACACGAGAAAUCCUGUUUGAAGAUGGGGGGACCAUCCUCCAAGGCUAAAUACUCCUGAUUGACCGAUAGUGAACCAGUACUGUGAAGGAAAGGCGAAAAGAACCCCAGUGAGGGGAGUGAAAUAGAACCUGAAACCGUGUACGUACAAGCAGUGGGAGCCCUUUGGGGUGACUGCGUACCUUUUGUAUAAUGGGUCAGCGACUUAUAUUUUGUAGCGAGGUUAACUGAAUAAGGGAGCCGAAGGGAAACCGAGUCUUAACUGGGCGGAUAGUUGCAAGGUAUAGACCCGAAACCCGGUGAUCUAGCCAUGGGCAGGUUGAAGGUUGGGUAACACUAACUGGAGGACCGAACCGACUAAUGUUGAAAAAUUAGCGGAUGACUUGUGGCUGGGGGUGAAAGGCCAAUCAAACCGGGAGAUAGCUGGUUCUCCCCGAAAUCUAUUUAGGUAGAGCCUUAUGUGAAUACCUUCGGGGGUAGAGCACUGUUUCGGCUAGGGGUCCAUCCCGGAUUACCAACCCGAUGCAAACUGCGAAUACCGAAGAGUAAUGCAUAGGAGACACACGGUGGGUGCUAACGUCCAUCGUGGAGAGGGAAACAACCCAGACCGCCAGCUAAGGUCCCAAAGUCUAUAUUAAGUGGGAAACGAAGUGGGAAGGCUUAGACAGCUAGGAUGUUGGCUUAGAAGCAGCCAUCAUUUAAAGAAAGCGUAAUAGCUCACUAGUCGAGUCGGCCUGCGCGGAAGAUGUAACGGGGCUAAAAUAUAGCACCGAAGCUGCGGCAUCAGGCGUAUCACUAAUACGCCUUACGAUUAACAACAUCGAAUGAAGUGAAACGGAAUGAGAUGUUGGUCAAGCAACCCGAACGUUGAGUCGGAAAGUAAUCGAAGAGAGGAUUAUUAGUGAUACGUCUGUUGGGUAGGGGAGCGUUGUGUAAGCGGAUGAAGGUGAAUCGAGAGGUUUGCUGGACGUAUCACAAGUGCGAAUGCUGACAUAAGUAACGAUAAAACGAGUGAAAAACUCGUUCGCCGGAAGACCAAGGGUUCCUGUCCAACGUUAAUCGGGGCAGGGUGAGUCGGCCCCUAAGGCGAGGCUGAAAAGCGUAGUCGAUGGGAAACGGGUUAAUAUUCCCGUACUUG